RNA transcript from Salvelinus fontinalis (brook trout), 2646 nucleotides. RefSeq lists it as uncharacterized. The record is from RefSeq and is a predicted model, not a curated record. The transcript has 3 exons. NCBI's taxonomy places the organism in Eukaryota, Metazoa, Chordata, Actinopteri, Salmoniformes, Salmonidae.
UCUCUCUUCCGGAUAAUAGUUUUUUAAACGUGUUUUGUAGGAUAUAAUCAAAGAGUUUCUAAACCCAGACGCGUAACAUCGCAAGCAUACCAGACCUGGAUUUUAGAAGUCAAUGAGAGAAGUAAAAAGUUAUUCCUUAGUUGUUAAUUUUCUCGAAAUCCAAAGGCAUAACCUAUAUUCGAGCCAAGUAGUUGAACAUAUUAUUACUCCAAACUCGGGAAAGUGACAAACUGACGAGUUUUCAUUUUGCUCCCUUUGGAAACGACAGGCUGUGGUCUAUCUUGGGUUAGUUAUACCCAAUGAUGUGUUUCUGCGCAUGAGCAUAGCUAGCCAUCGUCGCCAUGACAUCGCCUACAAGUCUUCAUACUGUACUGUCUUUGAUAUAAUAUGUAUCUCUAUAUCUAUUACUGGUACAUAACCAUUAUACCGUAGAAUAAGAAGCUCACUUGCUACAUUUUGACUACGUGAAAUGUAACGUUACAGGCUGAGCAGAAUAAUACGGAUUUAUCGACUUUCAUUCCGGUCAAAAUGUCUAAACUACAGUUGCUGAACGUGUAUGUUACCGAACGACUAACAGCGGCAGUUGCAGAGAUAUCCGUGGCGGUCGACAGAACGGUAGUAGAGUUGUAUGAAGAAAUCUCCCGUUCUAAGGAGGAGAAUAACCGUCUGCGAAGGCUGUUGGAUUUGGUUUUCAACCCGGAGAUAAAGUUACACAAAGCAGAAGACAGAUGGAAGACAUAGUCGGUCACCUGUGCAAAUUAGCUAUCUAGCGUGGGCCGAACACCUGUAUGUAUACAUAACUGGGGAGGAAGUGUCGUUCGACAACUGGGGGCACACACGGCAUAUAGAUCUGUGCAGUAAGUGUAUAAUUAUUUAUUUGAGAGAUUAUUUAUUGCAGAUCAGGGGCAUUAUCUUAUGUUUCGAAUGUAAGAUCCAACUAACUUGGUCAUCCGUUAGUGAUGGGGGGAAAAGGAGAUUUAGUUACAUAUCAGGAGAUUGUUUUCUUAUAUAUCGCAUCGUUUUGAAAAUUUAGCAAUGUAUAUCUUUUUUUUGCUAGUUCACCAAAACUCCAUAUCCUUUUCUCCACUUUCUUUUUAAAAAGGGAGACAAUUUGUUUUCAGCACAUUUAUUUCCAUGACUGAUCAAAACUUGUUUUCCCUCUCUUGUCCCUCAGGAAGCCGGUCUGACCCCAGUGCAGCUGUAUAGCAAGUGUAGGGUCGGAACCUAUUCAGGCUACCUCUGUAUUAGCUCAACUUAAAGGAAUCAAACUGAUAUCAAGUUAAUACAAGAAUUGAGCUUCUAUUGUAAUAUUGACUCUAUAAAGAUGUUCUAAUCAAUAACAUGGAAGUGAUCAAUAGCUAAGUAGCAUUUUUAACAUUCAAUUCUAAGUAACUUUAUAUUUCUCCAUCAGAUGCCCAGCAGCUCACUCACCUCAUAUCUGAAGAGGUUCCCCCUGAACAGCAGCACUGUGAGCAGGAGUGGAGCCCCAGUCUGGUUCAGGAGGACCCAGUGCCCACACAGAUUAAAGAGGAACAGGAGGAACUACAGACCAGUCAAGAGGAAGAGCAGCUUCAAGGGCCCUUUGAUACCAAAGACUCCAUAUUCACUUCUCCCUGUGUGGAAAGUGACUGUGAUCAGGAGAACCCAUCUCAGCCCUCACAUCUUUACCAAACCCAAACUGUGGAGGACAGAGAGAGGGGUUCUCUACUCACCAACACAUCUAUAGAGAUCAAAACAGAACCUGAUGGAGAGGAUUACAGAGUAUCAGAACCAGCCAGUGACUCUCAGCCCCUCUCUGCAGUAAAUCCAGACUGUUCUGCAGCUCAGAGUGAAAACAUGGAAAGUGAUGAUGAGGUGGAGAGUGGAGGACUACAAUCAGGGUCUAAGACACUCGAAUCAAAAAGAAAACAGAUUGAGAAUGGAGAAAGGUUCCAUACCAGUGCUGGAGGCAGGACGGCCACUAUGUUGCCCCGUUUGACAUCUUCUAGUCAAACGUAUGCUGCUCCUUAUUGUUGCAAGGUUGCCACAGGCCUGAACCAAGCUAAUACAAGAGGACGUCCAGCUGCUGACGCCAUACACCCUCCAAAGCCACCCAAAGUGGUCCGUACUGGAGUUACCGAUGAUGUCCGCACGGAUCAAAUUGAACACUGGCCAGUGAAAUGUGAGACGCGGGGUCGCUGCAAAGUCUGCCAGAAAAAUGUAACGAAUACCCUCUGUCAGAAAUGUGAUGUAAGACUGUGUUUCACUUUUGAGAGGAAUUGCUACAAGUUGUACCACAUGCCUUAGUGCAACAUGUUUACAAUGCAGAGAUAAUUACACACUCACAAGAUGAACAACUUGUUCAAUAUAUAUGAUGCUUCUUUUAGAACUUGGAUUUCAAAAGUGAUGAGUCAGGCUUCAUGAUGAACGUUUAUAUUUCAAUGGUUUUAUGACAUUGUAUUGCUAUUGUUGUAUUUAAAUGCAAUGUUACACAUUGAUACACACACACACUCUCUUCUGUCUUUAUCAGAGUCUAAUAUGUUAUGAAUUAUUAUUGAGAUUUUGUGUAUUUCUGAAGAUUUUUGCCAUUUCUUUUGCAAUUCAGGACUUAACUCAGGGUUAUACUUGGUUCACAUUGAAAUAAAGCUGUAAGAUUUGAUAAACUGA